RNAcentral lists this non-coding RNA (101 nucleotides) under Alkalihalophilus pseudofirmus. Its description in RNAcentral is "Bacillus pseudofirmus TPP sequence". It matches the Rfam family "TPP riboswitch aptamer (THI element)". Rfam says of the family: Vitamin B(1) in its active form thiamin pyrophosphate (TPP) is an essential coenzyme that is synthesised by coupling of pyrimidine and thiazole moieties in bacteria. RNAcentral also lists the same sequence under 1 other name. The record is from RNAcentral. Lineage: Bacteria; Bacillati; Bacillota; Bacilli; Caryophanales; Bacillaceae.
CGAGACCACUAGGGGUGCAAUUAUUGCUGAGAAAGGUGCAAGCCUUAACCCUAUUACCUGAUCUAGAUAAUACUAGCGGAGGGAAGUGGUGAGAGCGUCUA